AGUAAGAUCAAUCUAAUAUUCUAUUAUCUCCUUCAUCAUUCUAAUAUACACACACACCCACCCUCAUUCUUACAACAUUAGAUAAUGACAUAUAAAUUAAAUAUGAUUUAUAUUCAGUGUUUUAUUAUUUUUAUUAUGGUCAUAUUUGACUAAAUAUACGAAUAUCUAUAUUCCUUAAAAAUUAUUUGGCCAAUAUAGUAAAAUAAAUUACCAAGUUGUAUUACUUGGCUUGCAAUUUGAAUAUUGCAUGUACAUACUUUGGGGCUGGUUGACCUUUAAAUUUACAAAACUAACCUUUAAGUUUUAAGAGUUUAAAUGCAUGAUAAAUAUCACUAUUAUGCUAUGAAUAAAAUUUAUUAUCAUUAUAAUUCUACAAUUGUUAAGAGACUUUUAAAAUAAAAUAAAAUUAAAAAUGGGUGGAUAUAGAUAUGGAUUUAGACAUUAGGAUAGAUCCAGAUCCGUCUUAGAUCCGCACAUCAAUAUCCAAAUCCGAUCCAAAUUCAUUUUAAACCGACCCAAAUCUGAUCCGAUUGGAUUUGGAUCACGUGGAUCUUGGAUCAGAUCCAAUCCAUUGCCAUCCCUACAAGAAACUAUGAUCACAAAAUUAUCUAUAUAUAAACUCAUAAUAAUUAAUCUAAAUCUUUCAUGCAUAUCUCUCUAAUUCUCUUUGCUUUCUUUGCAAGCAAAAUCUUUCACCUUCAGUUUCAAUAACUCUAAUAAAGUUUCUAAAAUAUGAGGCAAGGUAACAUGCAUUAUAAACUCGAAAAUCAUGCACGAAAUAACACUUUGCCUGAACCCAAACCGCUUGCCGAAUAUGUGAUCAAGUGUUUUUAAACACACAGGCUCUCAUCAACCAUGCUGAAACACACAUGGUUAACGAUGGAACUGCUGCCAUCGUUCUCAAACUCACAAUUUUACUUCACAAACGCUAAUUCUCAUAACAAUUUUGAAACCCUAAUUUUCAUAACAAUUUUACUUCACAAACGCCUCUGCAGCCUCAGCCAUCAAUUUUCAUAGCGGCCAUGUUGCACAGCCUCGAAGUCUUUUGAUUCAGCAACGUUCUAGCAGCGACCUCACUAAGCCGUUGAUUGAUCAGUUGCAGAAACAUAUCUCAGAUGUUGAGAGAGCUGAUGGCAACAAAAGGGCUUAUGAAUCAGGGAUGCUAGAUUUGACAGUGAAGCUGUGAUGGCAAAACCCAGUUCAGAAGCAAGGCCUCUUUUUCUUUUCUUUUUUUUUUUAAUUUUUUUUAUCCUAAUAAUAUUUAUCUUCAAAAAGAAAAAAGAAAGAAAUUAGUGUGAUAUCUAAACAUCCCAUGUAAAUAAUAUUAGAUCAUAAAAAUUCAAAGAUUUUUUAAAGAUUAUGUAUAAACAAUUUAAUGAAAGACACAACUGAUGUUUAUUCUAUAAAAAUUAUAGUGAAUGAUAAAAUUAGUAAAAGAAUAACAUCUAACUAAACAUACGAAAUAACAACCAUAAAGCACACAUGUACAAUAUCUUCAUUGAACGAGGUUUACAGAGAAUCCAUCCUCUCUAAUGCCCAAAAUCGGUCACGGACCUUUUCAAACUAAAGACAAAAGGAUUGACCUGUUAAUUUUUAUUUUUAUUUGGUCUUGCUGACGUGCUCUCCACUUGUAAUCAAAGCCAUUUAAGUUCGCUAUUACAUUCCUCGUGUAAUUUCGUUACAAGUCAGGCCAAUGAAUUUAAUUCUAAUUCGACCUUAAAUCCCACUGGACGAAAUCAAAUAAUCUACAACUCUCUUUAAUUUUGAUCCUUUAAGCACUAUUUGUUCCCAAUCUUUAGUUUAUUACCCUAUUCAAUAGAAAUAAAUUAAUUAGUUAAAAAUAUAAAUAAAAGAAACUAACAAAUAAACGAUGAAAGUUGAAAUAUAUCAAUAAAUUAUACCCAUUUCUAAGGCAACCUUUGAAGAUUGGAAACCUAGAUAAUUAAAAGAAAUAUGCCCUAAAGAAAAAAUCAAGGCACCUAGACUAUAUUUAAUAAUAAAUAAAUGAUAAGUGAUUCGUUCUGCUUUUCAAGCUAUUCUUCUUCACAGUUUAAAUUUUAUUUAUGGCCAUCUUCUCUUAUUAAAGAUCGUCAUAGUUGUGCCCAAAAGUUUAUUUUAGCGGGCAUUUAUCAGCCGAGGAAGUUGGUUUUUAUCUCUUGAUAUUAAUUUUGUUCUACUAUGGCUGAAGGUGGUUAGUGUCUGCGAAGGCUGGAUAUUUUGAAUAAGGCUUGUUUGCUUAAGUUCCUAUGAGACCUUCGGAAUAAGCUUAUUUUGAACUCCACUUAUCUUCUUGCUCGUUAUGAUCUCUAUGAUUCCCGAAAGAGUUUAUGCUCUUCUUCAUGGGCUAGAUUGCGUUCUACUAUUUCUGCGUGCAAUCAUGGUUGCAGAUGGCUAGUGGGGGAUGGUUCUAAGAUCAACUAUUGGCAUUACACUUGGCUUUCUCGGCCUAUUCUUCCGCGUGAGGAUUUUGCUGAUUAUAGUGGCUAACGAUGUCUGGAAUUUGCCAUCUGAUUUCUUUUCUUCUUUUCCAUCUCUUAAGCCAUCUUUUGAUGAGAUUACUCCCGCCAAGCUAAUGUUGCGGAUCGAUUGAUUUGGACGGCUCCGAGAGAUGGUUGGCUUAGGCUUCGUU
This 2629-nucleotide long non-coding RNA is filed under the name Citrus x clementina. Its description in RNAcentral is "Citrus clementina (C. clementina) long non-coding RNA (CCLE_LNC000161)". The record is from RNAcentral. Lineage: Eukaryota; Viridiplantae; Streptophyta; Magnoliopsida; Sapindales; Rutaceae.